This 482-nucleotide ribosomal RNA is filed under the name uncultured bacterium. Its description in RNAcentral is "bacterial SSU rRNA". It matches the Rfam family "Bacterial small subunit ribosomal RNA", at positions 30 to 506 of the family's 1533-position model. The record is from RNAcentral.
UUGAACGCUGGCGGCAUGCCUUACACAUGCAAGUCGAACGGCAGCACGGGAGCAAUCCUGGUGGCGAGUGGCGAACGGGUGAGUAAUACAUCGGAACGUGCCCAGUAGUGGGGGAUAGCCCGGCGAAAGCCGGAUUAAUACCGCAUACGACCUAUGGGUGAAAGCGGGGGAUCGCAAGACCUCGCGCUAUUGGAGCGGCCGAUGUCAGAUUAGGUUGUUGGUGGGGUAAAGGCCUACCAAGCCUUCGAUCUGUAGCUGGUCUGAGAGGACGACCAGCCACACUGGGACUGAGACACGGCCCAGACUCCUACGGGAGGCAGCAGUGGGGAAUUUUGGACAAUGGGCGCAAGCCUGAUCCAGCCAUGCCGCGUGCGGGAAGAAGGCCUUCGGGUUGUAAACCGCUUUUGUCAGGGAAGAAACGCUCUGGGCUAAUACCCCAGAGUAAUGACGGUACCUGAAGAAUAAGCACCGGCUAACUACGU